This 253-nucleotide ribosomal RNA is filed under the name uncultured bacterium. Its description in RNAcentral is "partial 16S ribosomal RNA". It matches the Rfam family "Bacterial small subunit ribosomal RNA", at positions 524 to 776 of the family's 1533-position model. The record is from RNAcentral.
UACGUAGGGGGCAAGCGUUGUCCGGAAUUACUGGGCGUAAAGCGUGCGCAGGCGGUUUUGUAAGCCAGAUGUGAAAGCCCCGGGCUCAACCUGGGAAUGGCAUUUGGGACUGCAAGGCUGGAGUAUGGCAGAGGAGACUAGAAUUCCUGGUGUAGCAGUGAAAUGCGUAGAUAUCAGGAGGAACACCGAUUGCGAAGGCAGCUCGCUGGGACGUAACUGACGCUGAGACGCGAAAGCGUGGGGAGCAAACAGG